This 435-nucleotide ribosomal RNA is filed under the name uncultured bacterium. RNAcentral's name for it is "partial 16S ribosomal RNA". It matches the Rfam family "Bacterial small subunit ribosomal RNA", at positions 29 to 507 of the family's 1533-position model. The record is from RNAcentral.
AGCGAACGCUGGCGGCAGGCUUAACACAUGCAAGUCGAGCGGGCACUUUCGGGUGUCAGCGGCGGACGGGUGAGUAACGCGUGGGAACGUGCCCUCUGGUUCGGAAUAACUCAGGGAAACUUGAGCUAAUACCGGAUACGCCCUUUUGGGGAAAGGCUUGCUGCCGGAGGAUCGGCCCGCGUCUGAUUAGCUAGUUGGUGAGGUAACGGCUCACCAAGGCGACGAUCAGUAGCUGGUCUGAGAGGAUGAUCAGCCACACUGGGACUGAGACACGGCACAGACUCCUACGGGAGGCAGCAGUGGGGAAUAUUGGACAAUGGGCGCAAGCCUGAUCCAGCCAUGCCGCGUGAGUGAUGAAGGCCUUAGGGUUGUAAAGCUCUUUUAUCCGGGACGAUAAUGACGGUACCGGAGGAAUAAGCCCCGGCUAACUUCGUG